CGGGUGCGUAACACGUAUACAAUCUGCCUUUAACAGGGGAUAGCCUUUCGAAAGAGAGAUUAAUACCCCAUAAUAGAUUUGUCGGCACCGAUAGAUUUUGAAAGCUCCGGCGGUUAAAGAUGAGUAUGCGUCUGAUUAGCUAGUUGGUGAGGUAACGGCUCACCAAGGCGACGAUCAGUAGGGGAUCUGAGAGGAUUAACCCCCACACGGAUACUGAGACACGGAUCCG
RNAcentral lists this ribosomal RNA (229 nucleotides) under uncultured bacterium. RNAcentral describes it as "partial 16S ribosomal RNA". It matches the Rfam family "Bacterial small subunit ribosomal RNA", at positions 103 to 334 of the family's 1533-position model. The record is from RNAcentral.